RNAcentral lists this ribosomal RNA (466 nucleotides) under uncultured bacterium. RNAcentral describes it as "partial 16S ribosomal RNA". It matches the Rfam family "Bacterial small subunit ribosomal RNA", at positions 28 to 507 of the family's 1533-position model. The record is from RNAcentral.
GAUGAACGCUGGCGGCGUGCUUAACACAUGCAAGUCGAACGGAAAGGCCCAAGCUUGCUUGGGUACUCGAGUGGCGAACGGGUGAGUAACACGUGGGUGAUCUGCCCUGCACUUCGGGAUAAGCCUGGGAAACUGGGUCUAAUACCGGAUAGGACCACAUUUUGGAUGGUGUUGUGGAAAGUUUUUCGGUGUGGGAUGAGCUCGCGGCCUAUCAGCUUGUUGUGGGGGUAAUGGCCUACCAAGGCGUCGACGGGUAGCCGGCCUGAGAGGGUGUACGGCGACAUUGGGACUGAGGUACGGCCCAGACUCCUACGGGAGGCAGCAGUGGGGAAGAUUGCACAAUGGGUGCAAGCCUGAUGCAGCGACGCCGCGUGGGGGAUGACGGCCUUCGGGUUGCAAACUCCUUUCGCUAGGGACGAAGCGUUAUGUGACGGUACCUGGAGAAGAAGCACCGGCUAACUACGUG